UACAGAGGUCCCAAGCGUUACUGAGAAUCACUGGGUUUAAAGGGUGCGUAGGUGGUCCGUUAAGUCAGUUGUGAAAUCCCCGGGCUCAACCCGGGAACUGCUUCUGAUACUGGCGGACUUGAGGCCAGUAGGGGUCACUAGAACUGACGGUGGAGCGGUGAAAUGCGUAGAUAUCGUCAGGAAUGCCGGUGGUGAAGACGGGUGACUGGGCUGGUUCUGACACUGAGGAACGAAAGCGUGGGGAGCGAACGGG
RNAcentral lists this ribosomal RNA (253 nucleotides) under uncultured bacterium. Its description in RNAcentral is "partial 16S ribosomal RNA". It matches the Rfam family "Bacterial small subunit ribosomal RNA", at positions 524 to 776 of the family's 1533-position model. The record is from RNAcentral.